This 1346-nucleotide ribosomal RNA is filed under the name uncultured bacterium. RNAcentral describes it as "bacterial SSU rRNA". It matches the Rfam family "Bacterial small subunit ribosomal RNA", at positions 28 to 1381 of the family's 1533-position model. The record is from RNAcentral.
GACGAACGCUGUCGGCGUGCUUAACACAUGCAAGUCGAACGGAAAGGCCCUGCUUUUGUGGGGUGCUCGAGUGGCGAACGGGUGAGUAACACGUGAGUAACCUGCCCUUGACUUUGGGAUAACUUCAGGAAACUGGGGCUAAUACCGGAUAGGAGCUCCUGCUGCAUGGUGGGGGUUGGAAAGUUUCGGCGGUUGGGGAUGGACUCGCGGCUUAUCAGCUUGUUGGUGGGGUAGUGGCUUACCAAGGCUUUGACGGGUAGCCGGCCUGAGAGGGUGACCGGCCACAUUGGGACUGAGAUACGGCCCAGACUCCUACGGGAGGCAGCAGUGGGGAAUAUUGCACAAUGGGCGGAAGCCGGAUGCAGCAACGCCGCGUGCGGGAUGACGGCCUUCGGGUUGUAAACCGCUUUCGCCUGUGACGAAGCGUGAGUGACGGUAAUGGGUAAAGAAGCACCGGCUAACUACGUGCCAGCAGCCGCGGUGAUACGUAGGGUGCGAGCGUUGUCCGGAUUUAUUGGGCGUAAAGGGCUCGUAGGUGGUUGAUCGCGUCGGAAGUGUAAUCUUGGGGCUUAACCCUGAGCGUGCUUUCGAUACGGGUUGACUUGAGGAAGGUAGGGGAGAAUGGAAUUCCUGGUGGAGCGGUGGAAUGCGCAGAUAUCAGGAGGAACACCAGUGGCGAAGGCGGUUCUCUGGGCCUUUCCUGACGCUGAGGAGCGAAAGCGUGGGGAGCGAACAGGCUUAGAUACCCUGGUAGUCCACGCUGUAAACGGUGGGUACUAGGUGUGGGGUCCAUUCCACGGGUUCCGUGCCGUAGCUAACGCUUUAAGUACCCCGCCUGGGGAGUACGGCCGCAAGGCUAAAACUCAAAGGAAUUGACGGGGCCCCGCACAAGCGGCGGAGCAUGCGGAUUAAUUCGAUGCAACGCGUAGAACCUUACCUGGGUUUGACAUGGAUCGGGAGUGCUCAGAGAUGGGUGUGCCUCUUUUGGGGUCGGUUCACAGGUGGUGCAUGGCUGUCGUCAGCUCGUGUCGUGAGAUGUUGGGUUAAGUCCCGCAACGAGCGCAACCCUUGUUCACUGUUGCCAGCACGUUAUGGUGGGGACUCAGUGGAGACCGCCGGGGUCAACUCGGAGGAAGGUGGGGAUGACGUCAAGUCAUCAUGCCCCUUAUGUCCAGGGCUUCACGCAUGCUACAAUGGCUGGUACAGAGAGUGGCGAGCCUGUGAGGGUGAGCGAAUCUCGGAAAGCCGGUCUCAGUUCGGAUUGGGGUCUGCAACUCGACCCCAUGAAGUCGGAGUCGCUAGUAAUCGCAGAUCAGCAACGCUGCGGUGAAUACGUUCCCGGGCCU